RNAcentral lists this long non-coding RNA (1062 nucleotides) under Coturnix japonica (Japanese quail). Its description in RNAcentral is "lncRNA (ENSCJPG00005012723.1)". Lineage: Eukaryota; Metazoa; Chordata; Aves; Galliformes; Phasianidae. The record is from RNAcentral.
AUGAAGCACUUGGACUCAGGUCAGUCAGAUUUCCUGGAUAGGCAUGUGCAGUCCAAGAGGCUGGAAACCGCUUUCUCCCCUCCUUUCCCUGACCACACGGUAGAACAUCAUCUACCAGCUCCAGGUCGGGGGAGGCCAGGGGGACUUCAUUGCUUUGUACUACUGUUGUUUCCCAGAACAUGUCUUCCUGCGUCCUCAGCCAACACGGCACUGGGACAUCAAGGCGGUCAGAGGCCGACAUCCUCUCUCACCGCCCCCCCCACCUCCCGCCCCGCCAAGAGCUCCGUCCCAGCUUUCCCACCGCCUCCCUCAGCGGGAGCCACUGCUGCCUUUGUCCUCACCCCGGUGUCCCCCAGCCCCGCACGCCGGCACUGGCAGAGAGGAGAACCGUCCGCACGCCCUCGAGAGGGACUUUUGCUUCGCAAAGGCCAUCAGGGCACCGGGGCGAGCCGGGGGUCUGCCCUGCAGCUCAGCCUCCGUCCGGCGAGGGUCCCGAAUCCCCGUACUUGCCCUCCCCACCGUUCCAAGACCCGGCGGUCAGUAGCCCGCAAAACCCAAAAGUCCUUGGGAGCGGGGGGCUUCCCCGCUCUUUCCUCUUUGAUUUUGGUGGGCUCUGCCAGCCUAAACGUGUCCACCUCGGGCAGCGCUCGGAGCGCGGGGAGGGGGGAGGUAGAAAGUCGGUGGGAGGAAGUUAUGGACCAGCAGACCCCUAGGGAGGAGCCCCCCGCCCCCUACUCCCCGUCGCUGCCCUCCGGCGCCGGGGUUCCUCUGGCCGCCGUGGCCUCCUCCCCAGCUCUCUCCCGCGUGGGUGGCCCCGGGUGGGCGCCCCGGCACCCUCGCUGCCCGCCGGGCACGGAGCUCCCCGCGGGACCGGCGCAGCGGGGGACCGGCCGCCGCCAAAGGACGGGGGGAGAGCGCAGGGUAUCGUUUCCAAGCUACCUCCGCGAAAAUACAUUUAUUUAUUCAUUUAUUAUUAUUUUAUUUUAUUAUUCUUUGUUUUAUCUUUACCUUAUUUCAUUUUAUCCCCUUCUAUUUUACAUUUUUUUUUCUUUCUUUCUUUAA